This 1131-nucleotide unclassified non-coding RNA is filed under the name Hevea brasiliensis (rubber tree). Lineage: Eukaryota; Viridiplantae; Streptophyta; Magnoliopsida; Malpighiales; Euphorbiaceae. The record is from RNAcentral.
AAAAAAAAAUAAAAAAGGAAAAAAAAAAAAAAAAGAAAAAAGGAAGAAGAGGAAGAAAGAAGAAGUUUAUUAUCUCAAUUCUUUAAUUCUGCUGAGGAAAUGUGUAAUAUGCAAGUUACAUGGUCAGGAUCAACGGCUGGUAACGUUAAAGUUGGAUAUUUGCUUGGAACUUUGCAAAUGGUCAUCUUGGGUUGCUGCCUGCUCGUAGAGUCCCAUUAUCGUCGAGUUUGAAGGCAUUAUAUGCAAUGGAGGAAAUCAAGAGUUUUGAUAGUCUGCAAAUGGUGCCAACCAUUCAACAUUCUGCUAGCAAAGACAGUGAAACAAAGUCAAUGGAUUUGCACUCUCAGCAGCUGAAUGAAGAGUGCAUAGUUUCAGAAGAAUCAAACAAGAUGAAGAUUUUGGAAGUGCUAGAUAAAGGUUAUAUGAAGUAUGGAUGUCCACAUUAUCGCAGAAGGUGCCGUAUAAGAGCCCCUUGUUGUGAUGAGAUCUUUGAUUGCCGUCACUGUCAUAAUGAGUCAAAGAAUAAUAUCAAUGUUGACCAGAAGCUUAGACAUGACAUGUCGCGCCAUGAAGUGAGACAGGUGAUAUGUUCACUUUGUGGCACCAAACAAGAGGUUCAACAAUUUUGUAUUAACUGUGGGGUUUGCAUGGGAAGGUACUUCUGUGAGACUUGCAAGCUGUUUGAUGAUGAUACAUCUAAGAAACAGUAUUAUUGUGAUGGCUGUGGAAUUUGCAAGUAUGCUCAUCUCUGUGCUGUUUAGCUUGUCUUUACGAUAAAUGGAGAAAGAACUGCUUUUCUUUUAGCAGCAGCUAAACUAUAUCGCUGCUUAUCUUGCAUUCCAUGACAAGAACAAUGAAGCCAAUAGAACAAAGAUGAUUGCCAUAUCUUGGGCUCAGACUAUAAACAAACCAUCCAUUGAAAUCUCCAAGCUUUUUCCAUUUAAUCAAACAUUAUUGAUCCUGAGUGUAUCAUUUGGCAGAAGAUUGAUUAAAUUAUGUAACUCAUUAAACAUGAUUAAGGUUUGCCUGUGGAUAACAAAAAGAGACCUAUCACUAGAUGACCAGGGAACUUAGAGGAAUUGUUUACCACUUAGUUUUUCCUACCUAAUAAAAAGCAUUGUCCAUUCACUU